GACAGUGGUGCCCACCCCAUAAUGUAUGACAUGCCAUCAUCCACCCAUCUGUCUGAUUGUCUCCCUCUUUCUUCAUCUUGUUUAUUUUUAGGUAAACGCCAAUGGGUGGGAUUCGCAUGCUGAUGGAAUGACGGUUGUCAGGCGGAUUAAAACUAAAGAUGAACCAUGUGGGAGUUUCCUCCAAAGAGCCUGUGGAUAAAUCUCAUUAGCAUACCUGCUCUGUGGACGGCUGUAAAUUUAAUGAAUGACGUGCUGGAGAGGAUAAGUGAGGUGAAUCAGCCGCUGUCAGACCUUCGGAGGACGGAUGGAAGAGGACUUCUGGAUGCUGGUGGGCUGGGUUCAUCUCCGAACUGAGAGGAUAUGAAGCAGUGGAGCUGGUUUUGUUCCAGUCAGGUCAGGUCCCAGGUGUGUCGCCCCCUCAUCUGUCUACUCCUCUUAUCCUCCUCCAUUCCACCAAAGGCCUCAUUUUCUGCAUGAUUAGGCCUCCACCUGUCCUGCUCUUGGCCCUGGCCCUCGCCUAGGCUCCAACACACCGUCAAUUAACACCAGCAAGUUUUUAGCUGAGUCACACCAAAAUGAAACCGUAAAGGGCAAAUGAAAUGAAAAUAUGAAGUUGAAAGACUGGUAGAAGAGUAAUGUAUUCAUUUAGUUAUACAUGUUCCUUUUGUGUGGCUUUAUUGAACCCUUUUCUUUAGUAGCAAACAUGGUGGCUUUCUAAACAGAAAUUGUGUUGUUUUCAAGUAAACAUGCAUUUGGUAAUUAUUUUUUUCAGUUCCAUCUCUGAUUAAUUUGAUAUUGAAACCUGUUCAUGUAAUGCAUAAUAACCCUCAUAUUGCCAAAAUAUCAUUAAGGCUUCUUUUGGCCCGCAACCAAAUUACUAGAGAAUGAAAGGACCUGCGCCAGGCCUUUAAUUUCACCCCUGUAAAAUGAACCAAUGAGCCAAAUAAUCUGGCUGGCCCUCAUUGUUGCAAAUGUGACACCUGUUGUAAGUGGCACGACUUAGAAGUGCCAAACACUUUUGUAGAUUCGCUUAGUCUUAUCAUUCUGAUUUGUUGCAGUAAACAAGCAACCAGAUAAAGGAGAACAACAUUACCUUUUUUUUAAGCAGAGACAGAUAGUCUUGUCAAAGUUAUACUUGUUUGUCAGUGAAGCUAAGAGCACUAGUGUAGAGACUGCAAUUUUAUCGAUAUGUCAUAUUUAAAAUAUUCUAAGUCUUUAAAAGUUUUGUAUAAGGGAGAGAGCAAAAUGUGAGUUGAGUGCAAAACUUGAGUAUCAUUUGCAUUAAAAAAUGAUGCAUUUUCUUGUAUGACACUUGAGGACCAGGCAUUGUCAUUUCCAGUAGUCACUUUAAUUUUUUGUUAUAUGACUUCAAAAGACAACAAAUAUAGUGCAUAAGUUGUAUGGACCAAUUUUAUAGUGUUUUAUUUUUCUUCUUUUUGGAGUUUGACAGAAAAACAUUCGGCCUAAGAAGUCCUUUUGUAUUCAGCGGAUGAAAGAAAGUCAGAUUUGGGACAACAUGAGGGUGAGUAAAUAAUGACAGAAUUUUGUGAACUAGUCCAAAAUAAAGGUUGAAGAUGGGGUUAGAGAAAGUUUGGG
Long non-coding RNA from Cyprinus carpio (common carp), 1596 nucleotides. The record is from Ensembl. NCBI's taxonomy places the organism in Eukaryota, Metazoa, Chordata, Actinopteri, Cypriniformes, Cyprinidae.